GGAUCGGGCGCUCACCGGUGGGACGGUGGGCAGGUAUGGAUCCCGGACGCACCUUCAUUCGUGAGCCGCCCUCCCGGUGCCCCGGCGGGAUGUGCG
This is a regulatory RNA element of 96 nucleotides. It matches the Rfam family "Rhodo-rpoB RNA". The record is from Rfam.